This 1150-nucleotide long non-coding RNA is filed under the name Felis catus (domestic cat). RNAcentral describes it as "lncRNA (ENSFCAG00000047688.1)". Lineage: Eukaryota; Metazoa; Chordata; Mammalia; Carnivora; Felidae. The record is from RNAcentral.
AUGAGACAGCUAGUCUGGAUCACCACUUAUUUUGUCCUUUGUCCCCUCCGCUUCUCUAACCCCCUCUUCUAGCUUUUACUUUAAAAAAAUUUUUUUUUAAUGUUUAUUCAGUUUUUGAGAGAGACAGAGGGUGAGGCGGGCGGGGAGAGGUAACAGAGAGAGAGGAAGACGCAGAAUCCAAAGCAGGCUCCACGAUCUGAGUUGUCAGCACAGAUCCGGACAUGGGGCUCGAACUCACACACCGUGAGAUCAUGACCUGAGCCAAGUCGGCCGCUUAACCAACUGAGCCAUCCAGGCGCCCCAAGCUUUUACUUUUCUAUUCAACAUCACAGACUGUCAUGUUACAUUCAAACAAUCAUGUUGAUUAUUCAUUCACAUGAAUAUAGUAGUACUAAAAUAGAAAGAAGAAGCAUGGCUCAAAUCCAAUGCUUUCUGUUUUGGUUUGUUUUGUCGUUGUUUUCACGAUAACCCUGUCCUGGGCUAUCCCCCCAAUCCACCACUGCAGCUGUAGCGUUGCGAAAUGUCGAUCCAGAAAAUGCAGCAUCAAGCCUGUGCCCCACCAUUUAACCAGCUGUGCCACUUUAGGAGCGUACUGUCCUCUAAACCUCGGUUUUUUCUCUGCAAACUGGGAAUGCUGAUAGCUACCUUACAGCUAUUUUUAGAUCCGUAAAUGAGAGAAGAGGGGUGGAAGGGAGUACUGCCGUAUCUGGCACCGAGUGCUAAGUCAAUACUUAGUAAGUGAACAUUUUUGAAUGUAUACAAAUAGAAAGCAUAAAAUAACUUUCAUCUUAAAUGAAAAGAGCUGUGCACAGUGGUAUGCUGGUCAAUAUUCACAAACGGCUUUCCUGGGGCGGGGUGCCGAUCUACAGUGUUUGCUUAUUUCCAUCGUGCAAACACUCCUGUCUCGGGCAGUGUCAAGCUCCCAAUGUGAACUCUUUGUGCAGCAGAGAAGACUCGCGCAGUGGCACACCGUCAUCGAGGACCUCCACCUUACAGAUCCGCUGACACAGAUAAUCGCAAGAGCAGGGACAACGAAGCAUUGCGUUGGGACGGCACUGUGUAGCUGAGCAGGCUGGGGUCUUAAUUUCAUGUUGUGAGUUAUUGUAAUAAGAGAUGAGCUACUGAUAUUCACACAUGUAAUGAAAAAAAC